AUACCGGCGGCUCGAGUGGUGGCCACUUUUAUUGGGCUUAAAGCGUUCGUAGCUGGGUUGCUAAGUCCCUUGGGAAAUCCGGCAGCUCAACUGUCGGGCGUCUAAGAGAUACUGGCGAUCUUGGAACCGGGAGAGGUGAGGGGUACUUCAGGGGUAGGAGUGAAAUCCUGUAAUCCUUGAGGGACCACCUGUGGCGAAGGCGCCUCACCAGAACGGCUUCGACAGUGAGGGACGAAAGCUGGGGGAGC
This 248-nucleotide ribosomal RNA is filed under the name uncultured bacterium. RNAcentral's name for it is "partial 16S ribosomal RNA". It matches the Rfam family "Archaeal small subunit ribosomal RNA", at positions 473 to 720 of the family's 1478-position model. The record is from RNAcentral.